Mauremys reevesii (Reeves's turtle) is the source of this 546-nucleotide long non-coding RNA. RefSeq lists it as uncharacterized. NCBI's taxonomy places the organism in Eukaryota, Metazoa, Chordata, Testudines, Geoemydidae. The record is from RefSeq and is a predicted model, not a curated record. The transcript has 3 exons.
CUAAGAGCCACAAAAAUCAGAUGCACAAAAUGUCAGAUCCAACUGACUGGGAGUUUAUUAAAAGGCAAAAGUAUUUCUCUGAGAUCGGCAGUGAUGACAAAACCACAAGCAGUGAAUACACAGAGCAAAGAGAUGCAACUGCAUGAAUUACCGACUGUGGAAUAUAGAGCAAAUAAUUUGCGAUAGGCUGCUGCGGACCAUCAUAUGAACCAAUCGUCCUCAGAGCCUGACACAUCGUGAUUACAAUCCGCAAAUCCCAGAUGUCCAAGUCCACCUUGGAGCGCACAAAGUAAAACUUCUUCCCCAUCCUCCGGAUCUCCUGGGCCAGUUUGGCGUGGUUGGCUCUGAACCGCUCCGAAGCAAUGACGAUGAAGAAGUCAUAGCGAUUGAAUGUCACCUGCUCCAGGCCCCGGAGGGCAUUGAGGAAGGACGAUUUCCCAGAUCCUGACUCCCCUGUGAUCGCGAUGUUGAGCUCGGUGUUGUUAAACAACUCGUCUGACUUCUGCACCACACACGCUGCUCCUGAGAGGUCUCCUGCUUCGAGAG